GAAAUUUCCCAUUAAUUAGGCCCGAGCCCAUCUCAGGCUGGGAGAGUGGUUGCCCGCCCCAUACGACGUCGUAGGCAGCGCUCGGUCAAUCGCACUCCACCGCCGCCGUCUAUCAAAUGCGCCACCACAGCAAAAUCCACCUUUUCUCUCAAGUCUCAUCCAUGGCGGUCUCAUCUUCUCCACAUUCGUAUUUGUCAAGCCCUAACUCUCUCUCUCUCUCGCCCUACAAACAACAACAACAACUACCUUCUCUGUUUUCCAACCUCAAGCUCCCCACUUUCCAGAGCCACCGCUUCAAAGCCCUAAUCUCUUCACCCGCUCCACCGCCGCCAAAACCACUUUCCAAAACCAUUCGCCAUGCCGCUGCCUCCGACGCUUCCCCCACCGCCACCACCUUCCACGGUCUGUGCUACGUCGUCGGCGACAACAUCGACACCGACCAAAUCAUCCCCGCCGAGUACCUAACCCUAGUCCCCUCCAACCCCGAGGAGUACAAGAAGCUCGGAUCCUACGCCCUCAUCGGCCUCCCCUCGUCCUACACGACCCGAUUCAUGGAGCCCGGCGAGUACAAGUCCAAGUUCUCGAUCGUUAUCGGCGGCGACAACUUUGGCUGCGGCUCGUCUCGCGAGCACGCUCCGGUGGCUCUGGGGGCGGCUGGCGUGGCGGCCGUGGUGGCGGAGUCCUAUGCCAGGAUUUUCUUCAGGAACUCCGUGGCCACGGGCGAGGUUUACCCGUUGGAGUCGGAGGGGAGGAUCUGCGAGGAGUGUAGGACUGGGCAUGUGGUCACGAUUGAGAUGAGUGAGAGCAGGCUGAUUAAUCAUACGACCGGGAAGGAGUACAAGCUGAAGCCGAUUGGCGAUGCCGGGCCGGUCAUUGAGGCCGGUGGGAUAUUCGCCUAUGCCAGGAAGACUGGGAUGAUUCCGUCACGGGCUGCUUAGGAUGGCGCUACGAAGACCAUGUCCGCUAAACUCCAAUGCAUCACAUUAGGCUCUAGAUUAACACGCGGCUUAUCUAGUACUUACUGGUUCUGAUCAAUCUUUUCUAGUGCGUGCUUAUUUUUGUUCAUGGAUGAUUGGACGGACACUCCCGAGUCCUGACUCUUCCCAGACGUAUGGAAUGGUGUGAAGUAUCAUCAUCUUGCAAAUUGUUCAUCAUGUACCCAACGAAUGCUGUUUAAUUUUGUAUGCACUAGUUUUCUGCUCUGCUCUGAAUAAGAGUCUUCCUGCACAUUUGGCAUUCUCCCAAACUUGCUAGCUGUUUUUCUAUGGAAUGCACCUAAACCUAACCAUUAGGUAGGGAUGCCAAUUUACAUUUGAUAGCUCUUUGAUCUUUCAACUGCAUUGCUUGAGAUA
RNA transcript from Diospyros lotus (date-plum), 1352 nucleotides. It is a transcript of the gene named 3-isopropylmalate dehydratase small subunit 1-like, with no coding region annotated. The record is from RefSeq and is a predicted model, not a curated record. NCBI's taxonomy places the organism in Eukaryota, Viridiplantae, Streptophyta, Magnoliopsida, Ericales, Ebenaceae. The transcript is spliced from 3 exons.